RNAcentral lists this long non-coding RNA (364 nucleotides) under Panicum hallii. RNAcentral's name for it is "long non-coding RNA (PHAL_LNC000645)". Lineage: Eukaryota; Viridiplantae; Streptophyta; Magnoliopsida; Poales; Poaceae. The record is from RNAcentral.
UUUCACCGUUUCCAUUUUUGCGUUUCUGAUGUUUUCACCAUCUCUUUUUGCUCAAUAUAAUCAUCAUGAAUCGCUUGAUGUUGAUUUGACUCGUUUCUUAUGUGUUCUGAUCAUCAUUGGAAUCUGCUCAGCUGCUCAAAGCGGGCGAGGUCAGAAAUGCUGCCCUUCUUUUUGCUUUUCAAUCCUUCCCUUUAGCCUCUUGCUCCUGCUGCGCGAAAAAGGUUUGUAGUGUUUCUGCCUUGUAACCGCCCUCUAAUCUGAUCCUUUGUAGCAGAUAGCUGCACAGCCUGCAGCUUUUCAGGGUUCCCGCCCGCAAAGACCAUGCCGUUUGGUUUCUCUUUGCUCGUUUUGUUUCUUGGCGCUC